This 253-nucleotide ribosomal RNA is filed under the name uncultured bacterium. RNAcentral describes it as "partial 16S ribosomal RNA". It matches the Rfam family "Bacterial small subunit ribosomal RNA", at positions 524 to 776 of the family's 1533-position model. The record is from RNAcentral.
UACGGAGGGUGCAAGCGUUAUCCGGAUUCACUGGGUUUAAAGGGUGCGUAGGUGGGCAAGUAAGUCAGUGGUGAAAUCUCCGGGCUUAACCCGGAAACUGCCAUUGAUACUAUUUGUCUUGAAUACUGUGGAGGUCAGCGGAAUAUGUCAUGUAGCGGUGAAGUGCUUAGAUAUGACAUAGAACACCAAUUGCGAAGGCAGCUGGCUACACAAAUAUUGACACUGAGGCACGAAAGCGUGGGGAUCAAACAGG